AGAGUUUGAUCCUGGCUCAGGAUGAACGCUGGCGGCGUGCUUAACACAUGCAAGUCGAACGAAGCACUCUAUUUGAUUUUCUUCGGAAAUGAAGAUUUUGUGACUGAGUGGCGGACGGGUGAGUAACGCGUGGGUAACCUGCCUCAUACAGGGGGAUAACAGUUGGAAACGACUGCUAAUACCGCAUAAGCGCACAGGAUCGCAUGAUCCGGUGUGAAAAACUCCGGUGGUAUGGGAUGGACCCGCGUCUGAUUAGCCAGUUGGCAGGGUAACGGCCUACCAAAGCGACGAUCAGUAGCCGACCUGAGAGGGUGACCGGCCACAUUGGGACUGAGACACGGCCCAAACUCCUACGGGAGGCAGCAGUGGGGAAUAUUGCACAAUGGGGGAAACCCUGAUGCAGCGACGCCGCGUGAGCGAAGAAGUAUUUCGGUAUGUAAAGCUCUAUCAGCAGGGAAGAAGAAUGACGGUACCUGACUAAGAAGCACCGGCUAAAUACGUGCAGCAGCCGCGGUAAUACGUAUGGUGCAAGCGUUAUCCGGAUUUACUGGGUGUAAAGGGAGCGCAGGCGGCGCGGCAAGUCUGAUGUGAAAGCCCGGGGCUCAACCCCGGUACUGCAUUGGAAACUGUCGUACUAGAGUGUCGGAGGGGUAAGUGGAAUUCCUAGUGUAGCGGUGAAAUGCGUAGAUAUUAGGAGGAACACCAGUGGCGAAGGCGGCCUACUGGGCUUUAACUGACGCUGAGGCUCGAAAGCGUGGGUAGCAAACAGGAUUAGAUACCCUGGUAGUCCACGCCGUAAACGAUGAUUACUAGGUGUGGGGGGAUCAACCCUUCCGUGCCGCAGCAAACGCAAUAAGUAAUCCACCUGGGGAGUACGACCGCAAGGUUGAAACUCAAAGGAAUUGACGGGGACCCGCACAAGCAGUGGAGUAUGUGGUUUAAUUCGAAGCAACGCGAAGAACCUUACCAGGUCUUGACAUCCGAUGCAUAGCUUAGAGAUAAGUGAAGUCCUUCGGGACAUCGAGACAGGUGGUGCAUGGUUGUCGUCAGCUCGUGUCGUGAGAUGUUGGGUUAAGUCCCGCGACGAGCGCAACCCUUAUUGCCAGUUACUACGCAAGAGGACUCUGGCGAGACUGCCGUUGACAAAACGGAGGAAGGUGGGGAUGACGUCAAAUCAUCAUGCCCUUUAUGACCUGGGCUACACACGUACUACAAUGGCGUUUAACAAAAAGAAGCAAGACCGCGAGGUGGAGCAAAACUCAAAAACAACGUCUCAGUUCAGAUUGCAGGCUGCAACUCGCCUGCAUGAAGUCGGAAUUGCUAGUAAUCGCGGAUCAGCAUGCCGCGGUGAAUACGUUCCCGGGUCUUGUACACACCGCCCGUCA
Molecule: ribosomal RNA, 1385 nt
Filed under: uncultured bacterium
Lineage: Bacteria
Description: bacterial SSU rRNA
Rfam family: Bacterial small subunit ribosomal RNA
Source: RNAcentral